GGAUCAGGAAGGAAUACGCGCUGAACUUAAGCAUAUCUAGGCGGAAGA
This 48-nucleotide ribosomal RNA is filed under the name Trypethelium eluteriae. Its description in RNAcentral is "partial 28S rRNA". Lineage: Eukaryota; Fungi; Ascomycota; Dothideomycetes; Trypetheliales; Trypetheliaceae. The record is from RNAcentral.